AAAGGGUGCGCAGGCGGAUUGGUAAGUCAGGGGUGAAAUCCCACAGCUCAACUGUGGAACUGCCCUUGAUACUGUCAGUCUAGAGUAUAGUUGAAGUUGGCGGAAUGUGUCAUGUAGCGGUGAAAUGCUUAGAUAUGACACAGAACACCGAUCGCGAAGGCAGCUAGCUAAGCUAUAACUGACGCUCAUGCACGAAAGCGUGGGGAUCAAACAGGAUUAGAUACCCUGGUAGUCCACGCUGUAAACGAUGAUUACUCGAUGUUGGCGAUACACAGUCAGCGUCUAAGGGAAACCAAUAAGUAAUCCACCUGGGGAGUACGAUCGCAAGAUUGAAACUCAAAGGAAUUGACGGGGGCCCGCACAAGCGGAGGAGCAUGUGGUUUAAUUCGAUGAUACGCGAGGAACCUUACCUGGGCUAGAACGUAGAAUGGCUAUAGGAGAAAUCUUAUAUCCCUUCGGGGCAGUCUACGAGGUGCUGCAUGGUUGUCGUCAGCUCGUGCCGUGAGGUGUCGGGUUAAGUCCCAUAACGAGCGCAACCCCUACCUUUAGUUGCCAUCAGGUCAAGCUGGGGACUCUAAAGGAACUGCCUACGCAAGUAGUGAGGAAGGCGGGGAUGACGUCAAAUCAGCACGGCCCUUACGUCCAGGGCUACACACGUGCUACAAUGGCCGAUACAGAGGGCAGCUACCUGGUGACAGGACGCAAAUCUCCAAAGUCGGUCUCAGUUCGGAUCGGAGUCUGCAACCCGACUCCGUGAAGUUGGAUUCGCUAGUAAUCGCGCAUCAGCCAU
RNAcentral lists this ribosomal RNA (790 nucleotides) under uncultured Bacteroidota bacterium. Its description in RNAcentral is "bacterial SSU rRNA". It matches the Rfam family "Bacterial small subunit ribosomal RNA", at positions 562 to 1355 of the family's 1533-position model. The record is from RNAcentral. Lineage: Bacteria; Pseudomonadati; Bacteroidota.